GAGUAGCAGAUUUAGUAUCUAGUUUGUGUUUGCCCCUUCCGCAACCAAUUCUUAUCCCGUGCAACUGAAUAAGAGUUCUUCUCUCCUUCGGUUAUCCUUAAGCUUUUUUAAUAUGAGAUUAAAUCUUUCUCCUUACCUAUAUGUUUUAUAUGGAGUUAGUUUCUCGGAUGUAAGAGAUGCUUGAGAUGUUGGAUUUACCUUAGUCAACCUUGGAUUGAUUCAGCAAAAAUGGCAUCUUUGGAUGGUCCAAUAUGGGAUCUAUUUUAAGCUGACGGAGCUUUCCCAGAUUUAAUUAUCGGCAUUGUCGGAGUCUCUUGUUCAAGUACAUGGUUAU
RNAcentral lists this long non-coding RNA (334 nucleotides) under Brassica napus (rape). Its description in RNAcentral is "long non-coding RNA (BNAP_LNC017816)". Lineage: Eukaryota; Viridiplantae; Streptophyta; Magnoliopsida; Brassicales; Brassicaceae. The record is from RNAcentral.